This 301-nucleotide ribosomal RNA is filed under the name uncultured bacterium. Its description in RNAcentral is "partial 16S ribosomal RNA". It matches the Rfam family "Bacterial small subunit ribosomal RNA", at positions 509 to 809 of the family's 1533-position model. The record is from RNAcentral.
CAGUAGCCACGGGAAUACGGAGGGGGCUAGCGUUGUUCGGAAUUACUGGGCGUAAAGCGCACGUAGGCGGCUUGGUAAGUUAGAGGUGAAAGCCCAGGGCUCAACCCUGGAAUUGCCUUUAAGACUGCCGAGCUAGUAGGUGAGAGAGGUGAGUGGAAUUCCGAGUGUAGAGGUGAAAUUCGUAGAUAUUCGGAAGAACACCAGUGGCGAAGGCGGCUCACUGGCUCAUUCUAGACGCUGAGGUGCGAAAGCGUGGGGAGCAAACAGGAUUAGAUACCCCCGUAGUCCCUGUCUCUUAUAU